GAAGCCUUUCUAAUGACUCCAGAAAGGCAAAACCCCAGCAGUCAGGUAUUCCUUGAACCAGUGAGGAGAAGCUGUUUCUGUGAAGAACAGAGGCCCAGUGUUUCAGAAGAUGAUGAGUGUAGCAGGGCACUAAGGUGCCUGCUACUGAGAGAGCCAGGAAGACUCCUCAGGUGCCGGUUGCUGAGGCAACUUGUGGGAAAUAAUGACCCACACCUGCCUAGCCAGCUGAUGAGAAGGGACAGGGCCUGGCCCCUAUAUAGACGGCAAGCAGGAGGCUAGGCAGUAGUUGCUGUCUGGCAGCCAAGGAGGAGGGAGCUCUCAGCCAUGUUACAAAGGAGAGGCCUGAGGAAGGAGCUGCAUCAGAUACAGUGGAGAGAGAAAGGUCCAGCAGCUACACACAGGGGAGAACCGCCAGCUGUUGGUGGAGAUGCAGCUGCAAGGAUGCCACCACCAUCAGCUGGCACCCUCCACAUGCUGUCUCUGCCAGCACUGGACCAAGGACUGCAUCAUGCUGCUGGAACGGCUGGUUGCUGCAGUGGAGGAGUGCUUCACAGACUCCUGGGCCUGGUGCUGCUAGGACCUGGACAGGGACCAGGAGGACUGUGCCCUCAUGGAAAGGACCCUCACCCUCCUGGAGAGGAUGGUAGAAGCUGAGGAAUAGCAAUGCGCUGUUGUGGCCUGGGUGGUGGAGGCGAUGGCGGAGGACCACCACUUUCUGGACGUCAUCCUGGCCCUGACAGUUCCCUUUGUGCCACCUGAUGCCCAGCCCUGGCCCUGUCCCUGGCCUUGGCCCCAGCCCCACCUGGACCCUGGCAGCUACCUGUGGCCCAGCACCAAUCCCCCCAGUAGGCUUGGGAGGAGGUUCUGUGCCUACUCCUGAGCCUGGUCCCUAGCAGCCUAGCCCUUUGCAUAGGCCAUCACUUACUACUCUUUUCCCCUCCAUUUAGCCUCUUAGUGGGAGCUGCCCACAGUUGGGCCAGGUCCCCACAUGGGCCCUGCUGGCCCUGGCCCCAUGGAAGAUAAGGUCUGAGUGGGCCCACCCUUGCCCCCAGGCCAGCCCCCAGACCACUGGGCUCACUGCAGUGUCUGCACCCAAGGUAGUGGCAGAAGUUGGGGUGCUGAAUGCCUCUACCCAGGAUCCACACCAUAGGCACCUCCACCCACUGUUUCCUCCCUACCCCCACCAGCUGAGAAAACACACUGUACAUAGUUGCAUGGGAUGCGGCAGUGGCAACACAUAGGGGAUGUACUGGGGUGCAUAUGUAUCCCCUGAGAGCGCCAGUGCACCCCCUGACCAGCCACACUUAGGCAACGGGCAGAGGGGGAAGGCGGGAGUGCCAGUCACUCACUGGUCACUGGGGGGGCAUAUGCCCCCCCUGAAUAAGGUGGCACCAGUCACCCAUGGGAUGUGGGACCUUUUUUUGGUGGUGCAUGUUAGGAUUAGGGAGGGAAGUAAGGAGCGGGGUUGUUGUUGGGAAGGAAGGAGUGUGCUUUUGAGGAGGGAGGGAAGGAGAGUGUCCUGUUGCUGUGAGGGUGUCAGGGUUUGUUAUUGUGUGGUGGAGGGAAGUAAAGUUAAUUGUUUGUUACACACUUUCCAUAGUGUGUGGUCUUGGGGUUGACCUGUGGUCCUAAGGUCCAUGGGCAGCUGCACAGGCACCCUACUAUGGGGAGUGGGGGAGGAAGUGGCCAGCGAGUGCCUCAGGGACAUGGUGCUCUGGCUGCCUUUGCUGGGGCAGAGGGCAAGAAGCGUACAUGGGUGCACUGGUCACAGGCUCCUGGGAACACAUCCCCUGCUAGGCUGAGCCUGCCCCUAGAGCCCCCUGCCAGGCAAGAUUGUCCCUGGAGCUCUCUGCCAGCCUGAGCCUGCCCAUCUGUGUCUCCUGCCAGCCUGAGGCUGCCACCCCCCCCCCCCAUGACCACUGCCAUCCUGGGGAUGGCACCUGGGCAGCUGAGGAUGGAGCCUGCAGUCUCCCCUGGCUGCUGCAGGGGGGCAGAGCAGAGUGGGAGCAGCCCUUAACCUGACUGUGCCCAUUGGCCGCAUCCAGAUGAGUGUGGCCAUGCAGCAUGUGCCACCACAGAUACAUCUGUGGCACCACAGACUGCAAGUUCCAUUGUUUUCCAUGCUGCUCCUUGCAGCAUGGAGGGGUUUUUUUUUGUCCCCCUGGGUACCAUGGAGGAAAAAAAAGCAAAGCUGCCCAUGCAGCAGUAAUGUGCACCGCCCAAAGCUGGUGCCUGGCUAGCCAAAGCUGUGCUCCAUUUCUGUCCAGGCUCAAUGUGGCAGGAUCACCACAGCUGCAGCCCUGGGAGGCCCUCAGGACCCCAGGUAAGGCUGCUGGGGCCAGCCCAGUGGUGUUCCCUCACCUGAUCCACAUCAAUUUUGGCUCCAACACCCAAGUCCAGGAUGGUUUGUGUCCUUUUUGACAGUGUGAUCCUCCUGGGAGGGUGAAAAACUGAUGCAAAAAAGUCAUUUAGGAGAUUGGCCCUUUCUUGCGUGUCAGAUGUCAGUUGUCCUGUUAGAUCUCACAGCGGCUCAAUGCUAUCUUUGUUCUUUUUUCAACUUCCCACGUAUCUGAAGAAGGACUUUUCCUUGUCCUUGAUUCCUGUUCAGUUUGUGCAAUGGCUUUUCUGGACUGUUCUCUACAGGUGUGGGCAAGUGCUGAGUAGUCGUCUUUGGUGACGCUUCCUGUGUUCCAACUGGUGUAGGCUUCUCUUUUGAGUUUAAUUAGGUCCAACAGUUCCUCACUCCGCCAAGGGGGCUUCCUUGCCCAUUGACUGCAUUUCUUGUGAGAUGGAAUGGCUUUCCUCUAUGCUCCUAAGAUUAUGUUCUUGAGAGAUGGCCAUUCCUUGUGUACUCCCUUUUCUGGGGGAGGUAUGGCCUCUAAUUGCCUGACAGACCAAUUAUCUGAGUUUGCAAAAGUCAGCCUUCCCAAAGUUAAGGACUUCUGUUUUACUGAGGGGCUUGCCUGCUCUUCAGUGAACUAAGUAGGUGACCAAUUCAUGGUCACUUUCACCAAGAUUCCCCUUGAUCCUCACAUCACUCACCUUUCUAUUUCUGUUUCUCUUUGUGCCCAAAGCCACGAUUUUUAUUCACUCUCACUAGAGAGGUUUGGCUUUCAUUUGGAGGGGUUUAGUACCAGUUCUGCUUAGUUUUUACUAUAAUAAUCAAGAGUAAAUUCAAAACAAUAUGUUGGAAGGUUUAAUCUUAAGAACAUAUGGAUGCAUCCACACAAGGCCAUCUGCCUGCCAGUGGCUAGCACUAGCUGUUUCAGAGGGAGAUGUUAGAAGCCAAGCAGUUGGCAAUCAUGGAAUAAUUUGCCCACCAUGGUCAUUUCCUCCUAAUGGAAAUCAGUUACUGGCUCGCUUAUGCACUGGACAGCUUCAUCUUGUGAAAGUUCUUUCUAAUAUGCAUAUACUGUAUAUACCCAAAUUGAAGAUGGCUUUGAAUUUAGGGUGGUCUUCCACUAAGUAGAAUCAAUACAAAGAAAAUUUAUAAAUGUCUUAUAACAUUCCAUAUAUAGAAUCUAAUUAGUCAAAGGUCACCUUAAAUUCACCACCCCCUGGCCACAGUGGCAGGGAAAGCAAUGGUAAGAUGAGAGGGGUCAUUGCCUGCCCCUCAAGCCUGCACCUGCCCCCCUACUGACCAUUUUCCCCCUGCCAUCUGUCCCUCUGUGUCUGCCCUCUGUUGCCUGUCACCCUGCCCCUUGACCCACCAUGCCUCUUCAUGCCUGUAUGACCACCUUGUCUGCCCCCCCGUGCAACUUAUCUUUUGCUGUAGCUGUGCUCCAGCUCUGGAGCAGUCAGCAAUAGUGGUGAAUCAGGAGAAGAGGCAGCAGGUCCCAGCUGGGCCAGGUUGGGACUGGAGGAACUGGAGUCACAGCAGAAGGUCUACAAAGAGGACAGCUCAGGAGAGGGUGCAGGUGGUGUGGUCUUCCCUGAACUUCCCCCUGAGCUGCACUUGUGUAUCUCUUCUGUUCCCUCCCACGAACCCCAUGGUCUACCCAAUGCUCCCCUGGCUGCAAGCUCCCUCACCUGCCAAGUGAAUCAUUUGGUCCCAGGCAGGUGGCAGCUCAGCUCUGGCUUCAGUUCUGAGCCCAGCUCUCUGCCCCAACGCUAGUACUCAAAUUUAAAAUAAAGUUGUUUUUUUUUUUUUUUUUUUCUCCCAUACUGGUUAGGGAGGAAAAGCAUUGCCUUGUAUUUGAGUAAAUACAGUAAAUGCUAGGCUGAUUAAGGCUUAUCCACAGUAUUGUGUGAAGUUUUGGGCUCUACAUUUUAAGAAGGAUGUGAAGAAAUUGGAGUGGUCCUGAGGAAAGCAACAAAGAUGAUAAUGGGGUUUGAAGGUAAGCUGUACAUGAAGAGUGUGAAAAAGUUAACUUCCUAGCCUUCAUGUCAAAUGUGCUUAAGGGGGACAAUUUCAAAUAUUUGAAAGGCUGCUAUAAAGAAGAGCAAGAAUAACUAUUCUUCCUCGCUGCGGAAGAUAGGCCACAAUGCAACAGUUUUAAAUUACAGAAAAAUAGAUUUAAAUUAGACAUCAAGAAAUACUUCCUUACUGUUAAAUAGGAAGGUAGUGGAAUAGACUGCUCAUGGAAGUUGUAAAUUUGCCUUCACUGGAAGUUUUCAAGAGGAGGCUAGAUAAACAUUGGGCAGGAAUGGUUUAGGAAUAGCAUUCCUGCCUUUGUAUAGAGGGUUGUGCCAGAAGUCCCAUGAGAUACCUUCCAGAACUAAAAUUCCAUGAAUCUGAUUCAGGCACAUUUUACUGAACUAAAAUGAACUGUGUAAAACUUUUUCACAAAACUACAAAGCACUACGAGGGAAAGAAGAGAUGGAUGAGGAGUGUGAGGAUCAUGAUGAGUCCCCCUUACCUGCUUGUCCCAUCUUUAAGCACCUCUUACACAUAUGCAGCUUGUCUCUUAGGAGAAACUUAACUUCUGUGCUACCCUGAAGGAGCUAUGUUAUGCCAUUUGUGAAAAUACCAAUGCAUACACUUUCUCAUCAUUUGUUUUCGUGGCUUGAAAGGAGAAUGGUUCACAACUCAAUGCCUGUCCACUACAGGAGAGGAUUGUGCAAAUCAAAAAUAUUCCAUGUGUGAGCUGCACCGUCUUGUUUUCUCAAAGCAUCAGGAAGAUUUGAAAGGCUCCAUCAAAAUGCACGUUGACAUAGAGGCUAAGGGACAGAUCAGGAUACUGGGCUUCAAGUAGAAGGGGCCAGGCCAACUUGUGGUGGUAGAUGGCAAACUGGAGCCUGAGUAUGAGAGGACUGAUGCAGUUAUUGGAAGUGGACUGAUUUCUAAGGUAAUCUUUUAUCAUCCAACAGAUAAAGGUCCAAGAAACUGGCAAUAUAAGAAACAAGGUGCUCAGAGAUUGCAGUGUUGUCUGACCUCAAUGACAUAAAAGAAAAUGUAGGAGAGGAUUAUAGCCUUUGUUUUCCUCUUUUGGUGGAACAAGGUUUGCAUCUGAAAUGAAGACAGUGGUUGUGAAGGGCAAAUUUUAUUUUUGAUUUGAUAAAAUUUGUUCAUUUAACACGAGCCAAGUUUUAGCCUUUAUGAGGUCAGAAGGCCAAUUUAGAGAUGAAAAGAUGCAGCAAGCUCAUAGUGUUUCUGUAGCUGUGUACAUGAGACACUUCAAACACAGUAGAUUAAUUCUGUUGUGUAGUAGUGUGGUGGGCAAAGCCUGUGCUAAUGCUCAGUAUAUUUAGGCUAAUGUGCAGUAGCAUCUACAAACAAACUGUUCAUCUGUACUAAUGCACAGUAGCACUGAUUAUGGUGCAUAAAGUUAAUAUCUGUCAUUACAGGUACUAAACUUAAUGUGCCAUAAUUAUGGAGCAUUGAUGAAUGUGUAGAUGUGCCCAUCAUUCUGCAAAGAGGAUUAGUGUUAUUCCCAUUUUGCCAAGAGGAAAACUGAAGCACAGACAAGUAAGUAACUUCCUCAAGGUUGCCCAGCAGGUCACCAGCAGAACUAGGAAUAAUGGACUCCUAUACACAUGCAGGGAGGCUGCUCCAACACACUGUAAUUCCGACAUGUCAGAGCAGACUCCAUUAAUCGCAUCAGGUGGAGUGUGGUAAUUACUGUGGUCCAGCAGACUCCAGCAUCACGUGCAUCAGUGUCCCUGCACUGAAAAAUGGUGGCAGGGCACUUUCAAUUAAAGCUCGUUUGAUAAGCUUUAGUUCAAAGCAGCCCACCACCAUUUUUUAGUGCAGGGAUGCUGAUACACAAAUGCUUUGGGUGUUUUUAAUUAUCAUAGUGCCUCUCCCACUUCCUGGAACAUGUCUAUAAAUGCCCAAUAAGUUCUACUCCAGUGCUCCACCUCUUAAAAUAUGCUCCCUCCUUCAUGUGUAAGCCACUCUUUGGCUACUCUGUGACAUGGGAAGCUGCCCACACAGAUGUGGGCAUUAACUCUGUAUGUAUGGGUUCUGUAGGAUGCUUUGCUACCAUGGGGUGGGGGCAGAACACAUCUGGGAAGAAAUCUGCUCUGGUCAGCUGCACCAGCAGGGGCCUAGCCUUCUGCUUGGGGCAGAGCCACAUGGCUGGGAGUUCCUCCAGCCAUGUGGCAGGGACAGCUCUGCAGCUAGCUCAGGCUAGCCUCCAUACCCCUAGCCUGACCCCUGGGGCCUGUGCUAGCUGCUGCCUGACCCUGGGCACUGUGCUUUUCUGUUGCAGGCACAUGCUGGCUGCAGAAACACUGCAGACCCUGGCUUUACCCCUUGGGACCUGUGCCUCCAGCUGCCUCAUCCCCAGGCACCAUGGCCCUCUGCUGCAGGCACGUGCGGGCCGCAGUAGUGUCACAGACCGCAGCUCUGUCCCUCAGGGCCAAUGCUUCCAGCUGCGUGGCUCUGGGCACAUGUCAAGCCCUGGUGGCAUCCAGAGUCCCUCCCUGAGACCCCGAGGUCCCUGGCUGCACUUGCAAUGGUGGUCUCCCUAAAGCCAGAGAUAUCGACUUGAGGCUCCAACUGGAUUGAGCAAGUGACCAGUGACCUCAUAGCAGUCUUUGGCAAGUCCUGCCAUGUGUACUUGAGCACAAGCGGGCUGCCAGAGCCUGUGCUGUGGCGACCAACUCUGGGUGUGCACUCCAAGUGUAGAGGUGAGGCUGUGGAUGGCCCCAGUGACAAGCAGCUCCAGCUUCUCCCUGGAGGGGGCCACUGCCUGGUAGGCCAGGUACCAUGCCUUUGUGCCCUGUGACACUGCAGGCAGCCAGGCCACCUCACCACUACUGGGGACAGUCAGAUUGUCAGGAUUUCCUGCCAUGCCCAUCUGGUAAGCUCCACAUAGGGAGAAGGGCCAGGCAGGGAAGGGGGCACUGUAGCCACCUGUGCCCACACCAUCUCACCUGCCCUCCGGGCUGCACACCUGGAGCUAGGGGCCCUGCAUGGGGGGUGGGAACCCUACCCCUCCUUCCCUCUCCUCCAUGCCCUGUCUGGAUAAGCUGCAGCCUGGCUGUCUGGGUUCCCCCCACAGUAUACAGGGAGGUGGGACAUAGUUCAGGACUUUGAGUGCCCAGUACCCUCCCAGUUAGGCAGCUAGGGGCUUGUCACAUACAGAGAAACUCAUUGAUGGCAACUGUGAUCUCCUCCUUGGCCAUGGGGGUCAGAGACUCAGUGUAGGCAGAAAUACCCCUCCAGGUGGCAAUGCAUAUCGUGAGGAAGCACGGGCUUACUUGGGGCACUGUUGAAGCUCAGGACCCUGCACCAGGUUCUCAACAGCUUCUGGGAUACUAUGGUGAUUAGCAGCAGCAGGGUCAUGGGUCAGGCACCCCUCAGUGUGCUCAAACAGUUCAUCACAGUGUACCCAGGUGACCCCAUGCAUAGUGAGGGCCCUGAUCUGGGGUGCUUCUCUGGGGAGGGCCAUUGGGGGGGAGGAGCAGGGGUGUCAUCAGCUCCACAUCCCAGCCAGAUGGGAGUGACUCACCCCCUGACCCCAAGUACCAUGGGCCUGACAGCACAGAAGCAAACUGCUUGGCCUAUAGGGAGGAGAAGUGGGGGAGUUGAUCUGGAGCCACCAUGGCAAUUACCAGCAAAAGCCAGCCCUGGCCCAGCCUGGGGAGGAGAGGGGGAAGGCAGACUGUCUUCUACAAAUGGGAAGUGUCCCACUUGCCCUCAUGGAGGAAGUGGAGAUUGAAGGCUCAUUCAGUGGCUGCCUGUGGCAGGGCAUGCGUGGCCAAUUUACUAUGGUCCUUGGGCACCUGUGCAUGCAUAACCCCUGAUCUGAGGCCAGGUGCUGCACAACAUCUCAGUCCAGUGCAUGUUAUCUCUGAAAUGUUGCAAAUUUUCACAAAGAGCCUCUUCAUCCUUGCUCUAUAGAUCCAGCAUCUGGAUCCAGAGGAGAAUCACCAGCUGCUGGUGGGGAUGCACCUGUGCAUGUGCCACCUCCAUCAGCAGUGGAUACAGGAGCAGAACCUGGUGUUGGAGUAGCUGGUCACAACAGAAUAGGACUGGGUCAAGACUUGCAGGCCUGGUGAGCCCAGGAUCCAGAGUGGGAGAGGGACAGGGAGGACUGCGCUUUUGAAGAGCGGCUCCUUUCUGUUGAGGAGAAGUACAUCUCCCUCCUCGAGAGGAUACAUGAAGCCCAGGAGAAGCAGGCCACCUUGGUGGCCCGGGCAGUGGAGGCAACCAAGCAGAACUUCAGGGUGCUGGAUACCAUCCUGCCCUGGCAGUCAGCUUCAUGCCACCUGGCCCUACCUGCCCACUGGCAGCCACCCACAGCUCAGUGCCAAGCCCCCCAGUGGGCUUGUGAUGAGGUUCAGCACUGCCAUCAGUGGCAAGGGCCUCCUGAGCCAGGUCCCCUGGUGGCCUGGACCCCCACCUGGGCUGCUGCUUGCUGCUUGCCUGGCUGUCGUGAGGUCCCUGGACUGGAGUUGCCCACAGCUGGGCAAGCUCUGCACACGGGCCCUUCUGGCUCUCACCCCAUGGUGGAGGAGGGGGAACAGUCUGAGUAGGCUGGACAGCACCUGGCCUUACCCCUGGAUGAGCCCCCAGUCCCCUGGCCUCACUGCAGCAUCUACACCCACAGUGGUGCUGCCAGAGGCUGGGAUACUGGAUGCAUUUCCCUGCUAUCCAUGUCAGAGAUGCUUCCAUCCCACUGUUUCC
This is a long non-coding RNA of Alligator mississippiensis (American alligator), 9076 nucleotides long. RefSeq lists it as uncharacterized. The transcript is spliced from 2 exons. The record is from RefSeq and is a predicted model, not a curated record. NCBI's taxonomy places the organism in Eukaryota, Metazoa, Chordata, Crocodylia, Alligatoridae.